UAGGGAAUCUUCGGCAAUGGACGAAAGUCUGACCGAGCAACGCCGCGUGAGUGAAGAAGGUUUUCGGAUCGUAAAACUCUGUUGUUAGAGAAGAACGUUGCAUAGAGUGGAAAAUUAUGCAAGUGACGGUAUCUAACCAGAAAGGGACGGCUAACUACGUGCCAGCAGCCGCGGUAAUACGUAGGUCCCGAGCGUUGUCCGGGUUUAUUGGGCGUAAAGCGAGCGCAGGUGGUUUAAUAAGUCUGAUGUAAAAGGCAGUGGCUCAACCAUUGUGUGCAUUGGAAACUGUUAGACUUGAGUGCAGUAGAGGAGAGUGGAAUUCCAUGUGUAGCGGUGAAAUGCGUAGAUAUAUGGAGGAACACCGGUGGCGAAAGCGGCUCUCUGGACUGUCACUGACACUGAGGCUCGAAAGCGUGGGUAGCAAACAGGAUUAGAUACCCUGGUAGUCCACGCCGUAAACGAUGAGUGC
RNAcentral lists this ribosomal RNA (469 nucleotides) under uncultured bacterium. RNAcentral's name for it is "partial 16S ribosomal RNA". It matches the Rfam family "Bacterial small subunit ribosomal RNA", at positions 355 to 816 of the family's 1533-position model. The record is from RNAcentral.